UUGGAAUUACCCCCCCAUGUCUUCAGAUAGUGAGACAUCACAUGACCUUCAAAGGCUAAGAGCAGAAUAUGAAUCUGUAAGACAAAGACUAAGAGAAAUGAAACAAAGAUGACGCCAAAUGGCACAGUACCAAGCAUCUGGCUGUGCAGAGGAGAGAGGAGGAGGAGGACCCAGUAGUGAAGUAUUCCCUGCAACAAACAGAACAAGAGGCUGGUGUGAGUUCCCUGGCUGAGGAAGAUGUGGGCCAAACUGAGGACGAUUGUGGGCCAACUACCCAAACGCAAGACUCAGGCCCACACAGUGAAGAGGAAGGUGGAACUAGCUCUCAGGCUACUGCAUCGCAGGCAACAUAAAAAAAGAGAAGAUGCCAACCACCAUUUACCAAGAGAGAGUUGGGUAUUCUCAUCCCACAAGCUAUUGAGAAAAUAAAUUUUGGCAAUAAGAACAUGGGCGCUGGGACCAAGGACCGUAUCUGAAGGGAGAUCACAGAUGCAGUUAAUGCGGUGGGACGAAUUGUCCGUACACUCCAAGAAGUCAGGAGACGUUGGGCUGACUUCAAGUCCCGCCUGAAGCAGAAAAAGUCUGCGCAUUGGAAAGCUUUGAGGGCAACAGGGGGAGGGCCACUCCCUGAGACUGUGGAAUUUACUGACCUGGAGGAGCAAACGAUGGCCUGUGUGUCAUAUGAGGAAGUGGCAGGUGUGUCCGAAAUGGACACCCACACACCUGCCCUUGAAUGUCCACAUGCCUUGGAAGCACAGGAGGUGCAGCUCACUGAGUCUGAGGAGUUCCAGUUCCAGUGUGGGGCAGGAAAGGCCAUCAUCUCAGCAACACACUGGCACACUCCCCCAACCCAGUCUCCUGGAGCUUAUGAGCCAAAUUGUCACAGAUGGAAGGAUAAACACUGACUUCCAUAGCCAGAUGCUCCGGGAUGUCCGUGAGCUGUCCUCCACUGUGUGACAAGGCACGUGCAACAUCUCCUCCUCUGUGGCACAAGGAGUGCAUGACAUCUCGACCACUAUUGGGCAAGGCAUGCAAACCAUCGCUGCCCUCCUUGGCCAGAGUCUCAGGAAGGCUACAACACUGGCCUAUCCCCUAGCCCUGCCCAGGAACAAGAUCCCACUGGGCAGGCCCUCGAAGAUCCAUAUACGCAGACCCACCACAGAGCAACAACCCCUUCAGGCGGGUAAAAAAAGGAGAAAACAUUGAUUUCUCUCCAGAUGCAGUCGUUAUUUCCAGCGCCCAUGUCCUGUUUUAAAAAAUUAUUUUUCUCAAUGGUUUGUGGGACCAGAAUGUCAAACCCACUCCUGCUGAAUGGGGUUUGGCGACUUCUCUUUUCUUUCCCUGCCUGUGAUGCAUUAGCCAGUGAACUUGUCCCACCUUCCUCUUCAGUUUGUGGUAUUGAUUGCUGCAUUUGGGUAUUGGGCCCAGAUUCUUCCUCAAUUUGCAACACAUCUUCCUCAGCCAGGGUACUGAGACAAGUCUCUUGUUGUGUUUGUUGCCCAGUAGAUGAGGGAACUUCACUACUGGGUACUGCCAGGUUAUUUUUGCUGUGCCAUUUGGUGUACUGUUUAUUUAGUUUCACUUUGUGUUUGUAUUAUCAAUAUCUAAUAUUGGAUUUAUUAUUCAAAUUAUUUCUACCCCUUACACUUUGUUUUAAAAUUGUGUUUUUCUUAUUGUGGUCCAUCGUAAUGUUUUUUAAUAUAAAUAAAAACAAAAUGGAAUUUUGUAUAUUUGUGGGUAAAAAAUAAAAACAUACUAGGGGGUUAAUUUGGUCAGAUGGGGUUAAUUUGGACAGAUGGGAGUUCUAUUUAAGAUGGAAUGUUUCCCAUAAUAACCAUACAUAUUCCAGGUAUUAUGUUCUAGAAGGUGCAAGAUAAAUGAGAAGUAUAAUAUUUGCAGUUUCUAUGGGCAAUAUCCCAUCUUAAAUAGAACUUCCAUCUGACCAAAUUAACCCCUAUAAAUGUAGUACCUAAAGCAUUAUUACAGAACAUGAUAUAUUAGCGCAGGGCCAUAACUACGUAUGUGCCAGGUGUGCCUGGCACACAGCGCAGUCGCCCUGAGAGCGCAACUGCCCGCAUUCCCUAAAGUCAGCGGCAUUGUAAUGAGUCAAAUUGACUCAUUACAAGCCACCUGUGUGUGCCGGAG
Pseudophryne corroboree (corroboree frog) is the source of this 2145-nucleotide long non-coding RNA. RefSeq lists it as uncharacterized. Lineage: Eukaryota; Metazoa; Chordata; Amphibia; Anura; Myobatrachidae. The record is from RefSeq and is a predicted model, not a curated record. The transcript has 3 exons.